UAGCAUAUGCUUGUCUCAAAGAUUAAGCCCUGUUUGUCUAAGUACAAGCCUAACUAAGGUGAAACCGCAAAUGGCUCAUUAAAUCACACCUAAUCUACGGGAAUGUUAGCAGUUACUUGGAUAACUGAGGUAAUUCUUGAGCUAAUACAUGCAAAAAAUCUCGACUCACGGAGAGAUGCUUUUAUUAAAUCAAAACCAAACAAACUCGUCUGUAUAUUUGGUGACUCGAAAUAACUUUGGGCUGAUCGCAUUGCCUUGUGCAGGCAACAUUUCCUUCGAAGGUGUGCCCUAUCAACUGUCAACUGUGGUAUAGACAACCACAGUGGUUUUAACGGGUAACGGGGAAUCAGGGUUCGAUUCCGGAGAGGGAGCCUUAAAAACGGCUCCCACAUCCAAGGAAGGCAGCAGGCACGCAAAUUACCCAAUGAACGAAGUUCGAGGUAGUGACAAAAAAUAACAAUACAAGACUCUUCCAAGGCCUUGUAAUUGGAAUGAGUACACUUUAAAACCGUUCCCGAGAAUCUAUU
RNAcentral lists this ribosomal RNA (527 nucleotides) under uncultured eukaryote. Its description in RNAcentral is "SSU rRNA". It matches the Rfam family "Eukaryotic small subunit ribosomal RNA", at positions 25 to 549 of the family's 1831-position model. The record is from RNAcentral.